Molecule: ribosomal RNA, 383 nt
Filed under: uncultured eukaryote
Lineage: Eukaryota
Description: partial 18S ribosomal RNA
Rfam family: Eukaryotic small subunit ribosomal RNA
Source: RNAcentral
CAAUAGCGUAUAUUAAAGUUGUUGCAGUUAAAAAGCUCGUAGUUGGAUUUCUGGUGGGAGCGAUCGGUCUGGCGCUUAGCGCGAGUACUUGCAUCGUCUCCGGCCAUCCUUGGGGAGAGUCUGUCUGGCAUUAAGUUGUCGGGCAGAGGAUCCUCAUCGUUUACUGUGAAAAAAUUAGAGUGUUCAAAGCAGGCUUAUGCCGUUGAAUAUAUUAGCAUGGAAUAAUAAGAUAGGACUUUGGUACUAUUUUGUUGGUUUGCGCACCAAAGUAAUGAUUAAUAGGGACAGUUGGGGGUAUUCGUAUUCCGUUGUCAGAGGUGAAAUUCUUGGAUUUACGGAAGACGAACUACUGCGAAAGCAUUUACCAAGGAUGUUAUCAUUAA